UUUUUCUUUGGCAGUUUUCUUUUAGGAUUUUGGGAGUUUUACGUUGAAUUGUUUUGUUAUUGUUAAAUUUGACGAUACUCUGCUGCUAAAGUGAUAAGAAAACCUUCAGUUUUCAAAGCAGAAAAGCUCCAUGUCAAAUGCAAAACUUAGGCAGUUUUCUGAAAUCGAAACGGCUUUUACCCAAUAUGUGGUGACAAUUUUGUUUUCGCUGCAUGGUUAUACAAGCAUUUGAUUGGUUAAGUUAUAUAAUCGAUAACAGGAGAGAAAAAUCAAAGAAGAAAUGCAACAAAUCAAUGAAAUUUCUACAGUCAUUGUUUAUUAUUGCUGUUUAAAUCUUAUUCAAGAAUUGUUUAUUAUUGCUAACACUGUUUGUAACUCACAGUGAUGGCUCCACCAAUUGAGACUACAGUCAAGUCCUCUGACUCUCACUGCGCUCCACAUCCUCCUUUGAAUGAAAGGAUCCUUUCGUCAAUGACCAGGAGGUCCGUCGCUGCUCACCCAUGGCAUGAUCUUGAAAUUGGUAACCAAUGUCAACUUUAGCUGUGUAUAGUUUCUUCUGGGUUUCAUAUUGGUUUUUUUGUAAAUAUAACAAUUUACUACUUUUUUUCCUACUAUUUUUAAUCUAUAUUACAGGACCUGGAGCUCCUACGGUUUUCAACUGCGUAAGUAUGCUAUACUUUAUCUUCUUCCCGGUUAUUACAUAUUAAAUAACAUAUCUGGGAUGGGAUAAAAUGCUCUAGACAUUACUGCAUUUGAUUGUCCCUAGCACAUUUCUUAUAAACAUUUAUGCAAAUCCUUUAGAAUUGAAAUAUAGUAAAAUUUUCAUUAAUAACAAAGGUUUUAAUAGAUCUUACUUGAUUAUUGUUAUACUGAAGAUGUGGUUAAUUUGUGCAGGUGAUUGAAAUUGGGAAAGGGAGCAAGGUGAAAUAUGAACUUGACAAGAAAACUGGUUUGAUCAAGGUAAUCAACUAGCUACCCAAAUGUACUUGAAAUGUUGUGAUAGAUUCUUAAUUGGUUGCUGAUGAAAAGUGCAUAAAUUUGCAGGUUGAUCGUGUGCUUUAUUCAUCAGUUGUGUAUCCUCACAACUAUGGUUUCAUUCCUCGUACUCUUUGUGAAGACAAUGAUCCCUUGGAUGUCCUGAUUAUUAUGCAGGUACGUCAGUUGCCCCUCAUUUUCAUUAAAAAUACCAUAGUUUAAUGCAGGGUUGCAUAACAUGUUCUUCCAAUGCACUUUGAGAUUGACAUGGUCCAUAUAGUGAAUCAAACUUGUGCUGCCAUUCUUUUCCCUUAAAAUAUUGUGCAUAUUCAAACAAAGGGUCUAAAAAUUUUAAGGCAAUACACCAUUGAAAUACUUGCAGGAACCAGUUCUUCCAGGGUGCUUUCUUCGGGCUAAAGCUAUAGGUCUGAUGCCUAUGAUUGAUCAGGUAUGCAUUAACUACUCGUUAAAAUAGUCCAGGUUCUUGUAUAAUACUCAAAACCAAACGAGAAAAUAAAAUCUGCAACCAUGAAUGUAGGGUGAGAAAGAUGACAAGAUUAUUGCUGUAUGUGCUGAUGAUCCUGAGUAUCGUCACUACAAUGACAUCAAGGAACUUCCACCUCACCGUUUGGCUGAGAUUCGCCGCUUCUUUGAGGACUGUAAGUUUAAUUAUUCUUAGUAGCAAACCAAGCGCCGCGUGUAAGUUCUACAAUCAAAGACGUCUCUGUGUAACUUUCUUUUGUCUUAAUAACUAUUUGCAGAUAAGAAGAAUGAGAACAAGGAAGUUGCUGUCAAUGACUUCCUGCCCGCCUCAACUGCUUAUGAGGCAAUCCAGCAUUCCAUGUAAGUUAUAGUUUCCUAUCUAGGCACUUAUAUAUUAAAUGAUUGAAAUAUUUAUUAACUGUUUUACUUGCAACAAGUUUUUAAUGAUUACUGAUAUUCGAUCAGUUUGAUAAAAUUUUAAGUUUUAUAUAUUUAAUUCGAUUGAAUAGACUUAUGACAUUUAUUCAAUCAGUUUGUAUAGUUUUUAUUUAAUUGGUUUUCAACAAUAUGGUUUGUAGGAAUUUAUACGCGGACUACAUUGUGGAGAGCUUAAGGCGGUAGUUGUUCAUAGCAUUCCGUCUUUAUAGUAUAUUACAUAGUUAUGAAUAUGUUUCUGCUAUAUACUGAAGUACUGUCAUGCAUACUGCAUUCACCUACGAAGUAAUUGUGUGCUUAUCCCCUAAAAUACAUUUUCAUUUUCUGGAUGGAAGAAAGAAAAAGGUUUGAAGUUAUGAUAAUUAUGUAAUGAUGAUGACCAUAAUUUUGGAUAUUUCUCAUUGUAAUGAUAAUGCCUAUAAAUCUUUUUCCUUUUUGUCAUUUGAUUCUCUUGAGUUUUAUUUUAGGGUUGUAUUAUGACAAUCGAUUUUUUUUAGUAAAAGAAAAUUCAUUAAAUGAAAACCGAUCAUACAUGGAGACAAAAUUAGCCAACAAUUAACAGAAGUUUAAAUUUCAAGCUAAUAAGUUUAUUUUAUACACCCAAACCUAAGCUUUUCGGCCACAAUCCUAGAUCGAUCAAUAUCCAGAAUAGAGCAAAGAAAACUGGGAGGAGCAUCCCAAACAUGACGUCGUACAGAAGGUAAGGUCAUAUGGUCAAGUUCAUGAGUCGCUCUAUAGCAGUUCGUCUUACCCACUGGAACGAGAUGAUCUAAUAGAAUGAUAAUCUUGCAAUAUUACUUCUGUGUCGAAAUAACUUCCUUACCAUACGAUUCAAUAUGGACAUCAUAAAAUCGCUCAUCCUUUAACCACCUGAGUAUCUCGUGGAUAACAAGAAACUAAGCCAAGAUUGGAUUAAGGAUACCUUGGAAUGUACUUGAAAGCAAGCACGUAGUUAAGGGGGGCUGGCAGGGUCCAGUCCCUCUUAAAAUAGAAAAUUUUUCAUUUAGUUUUUUUGAAACUUUUAAAAUUUUAAAUUAUUAAAGAUAAAAUUGCACUUUAAUCUCCUUAAAAAUGAUAAAUUUUACUUCUUAAGGUGUUCUCUGAUAAUUGUUUACUAAGGUGUUCUCUGAUAAAAAUAAGAAUUUGCUUCUUGUUCCUGCCAAUAAGAGACGGAAGGCCUAUAUAGAAGCCUUAGUUAAUUAUUGUUCCUGCCAUUAAGAAUUAACUAUCUUUGUGUUCGAACUAAACAUAACCCCAGAUCUUUUAUAGUUAAUAGCCUAGCUAGAAGCCUCCUCAUAGACGCGCAAAAUAUGGUGCACAACUUGACAUUCCUCAGCACUAGCUCUAAAAAAGGAAACUGUGAUCCGCGAAUAAAAGAUGGGACACUAUAUGGCCUCCACGGCAAACAGAUAUCCCGUGCAAAAUUCCACACGCUCUCGUCUGUUUGAAUAGAAAGUUAUCACCUUCGGCCCAUGACUCAAUUGAAAGAUGGUUAUAUUAAAUAUGACAAAACCAAAUAUAUUUCACAAAAUUAUUUUUCACUUAUGAUUUUGAAAAAGAAGGUCGUAAUGAAGUUUAAUAAAUUCGUUCUAGUGAUAAUUUAACAAAUUUUAUUAUCAAGGUAUUGUCAACUUUAACAUUUCAAAUACCACUAUAUAAGUUUGAAAUGUGUCGACUUAAAGACGUAAUGUGAUGUUAUCAUUAGAGUAAAAAACACAUUCUUUUUUCCUUUAACUAAGGUUUUAUCCUACUUGAUUUUCCUGGUAAAAGUUUUUAACGAGACAACUUAUAAUAGGAGAUUAUGUACCAUUUUUCCUUCAUUAGGUUUCUAUCCUAUUGGGUUUUUUCUAAUAAGAUUUUAAUGAGACACAUUUUUCAUUAAUGAACAUCCAAAGGAGACUGUUGUAAAAUGGAUAUCCAUAUAGCUCCCAUAACCCCCAAGAAUUUAUUUUCUUGUAGCCCCUAAAAAUUUAUAGGGUACCUUAAUUAUAUGUAUUAGAGUUUUGUAACCUAUGGUAGUUGAGGCCCUAUAAAUAGAAAACAUGUAUAAGUUUUUUAGAUAUCCGGAAUGAAAGUUGAAUCAUCUUUUUAUUUUUAUAUUUUUCUCUCUUGUUCAUUCUAUAUUCUGAUACUCAAAGUAGUAGCUAAAUUAUCCAUUUUUUUUCGAGUUGGAACCUAAACUGUUUUUUGGUCACAAUUGGUACCUAAACCAUAUUUUGUUGUACAAAUUACUCCUAUCAUUAAAAAGAACUCUUAACCAAUCAUUUUGUGACACGUGAUAUUUUUAAAUUAAAAUUAAAAUUAAAAGAAUAGAAUUAAAUUAAACUGUAAAAAAAACAAAUUAAAUUAAAACUUUUCAAAAAAAAAAUACACUCUCUUCCUCCCCAUAAUUCUUUCUUCUCUUUUAAUGCACAUUUUUAAUUGUUAUCUACUUACAAGAUUUUGAAAAUGAGUGAUUUUCGUAAUUAAUAAAAUUUUUGGGUCAAUUUAAAGAAAAAGCCGCCAUUCAUUUUCGGUUUCCUUGAUUAACUGUUCACAUCUAUCUAACGGACUCAAGGUACGCCACGCCAGUGAUCCGCGUGACACUCAAACAACCAAUCAAAUGUCAUCUCACCUAUCUAUAUAAAUAAUCCUCCCUCGCCAAGUUCCACUUCAUCGAGCUCCCUCAAUUCAUCUCGUAAAUACUAUUGUUCAGUUUACCCUCUCUAUAACUUUGUUUUUGUUCUCAUUCUCAUAGACAUGGCGCCGAAAGCUGAGAAGAAGCCCGCCGAGAAAAAGCCAGUAGCGGAGAAAGCCCCAGCGUCGGCAGAGAAGAGGCCGAAGGCUGAGAAAAAGAUCUCUAAAGAUAGCGGAGAUAAGAAGAAGAAGAAGAUCAAGAAGAGCACCGAGACGUACAAGAUUUAUAUUUUCAAGGUGUUGAAACAGGUUCACCCUGACAUCGGGAUCUCGAGCAAAGCCAUGGGGAUUAUGAACAGUUUCAUCAACGAUAUCUUUGAGAAACUGGCUCAGGAGUCUUCUAGAUUGGCUAGGUAUAACAAGAAGCCGACGAUCGCAUCGAGGGAGAUCCAGACGGCGGUGAAAUUGGUUUUGCCUGGUGAACUGGCGAAACACGCCGUCUCUGAAGGAACCAAGGCGGUUACUAAGUUCACAAGUUCUUAGAAUUGUGUAUUCUUUUUCAAUUGAAAUUGGGAUUUAAUUAGCGGGUUUUAGGGUUUUUAUUUUUUGAAUAAUGGUGGUAGUGCUGUAGUUGGGAUAGAGAGGUAAACUGUUUUAUGGAUACAAUAAUGAUAGUUACUAUUUGAAAUAGUUUUAUCUAUAUUUUGCUAAAAUCGUAUAGGGAUGAAUUUGGAUGAAUUUUGUAUUCAUUGUGUCAUUUUGAGUUGUGUGACUCAAACCUCUGAUGGGGUUUAUGAGUUGGUGGUAUGAUAGGAGACGUGAAGGUUGAGACCCUGUUUGUGUCCUUGAUGGGAGAUGAAUGAAAUAAUUUGUUGUGGUCAAGAAUCAAAAUAUGGAGUGAAAGCAAGGGAUUUUUAUAUCAUUAAAAGGCUUUGCUUUGUUGUCAGCUUGGCUGGAAAGAAAAAAAAAUAUUACUUACUGUUUAAAAGUGAAAUCACCUAUUUUGGAUGUUCAAGUUAAUGAAAAAGAAAUUUUUGUCAACAAAAUUAUUAUUUUUCUUUUGUUAAUUUGGUCAGAAAAUCAUUAUUGACCGUAUAUUUUUAGAGGUUAUUAUUAUUUUUGUCACCCUAAAAUACCUAGAAAUACGCUAUAGCUUUUUUGUUACCCUUUCAUGAUAGGUUAAUUUCCUUUUUAGUGUGACCAAAUAAACAAAAAAAAAUGAAUGAUUAAAAUAAGUACAAUUAUUAUUUAGAGUAAUUAAUCCGGUAAUUUUCUAUUUUUUUUAUUUUAAUGACAAUCUUCUUUAAAUAAAAAAAAGUCGUGGUUUUUUUUUUUAUUCUUUUUCUUUAUUUUGUUUUUGAAGUAGUGGUUUUUUUAUUUUAUUUUUCUCUAUGUUGUUUUUAUUAUUAAUUAAUUUUAGCUUUGGAUUUUUUUUUGAAAAAAUAAUUCAUUAAAAUUAGCACAAAAGAAAAUCAGUAGGAUAAAUCAACGAGGAAGGGAAACACUAAUCUAAACCAACUCCAUCCUAAUCUCUUCAUCGUCGAUAGAAGCACUACAAGCCAAAUCCGCAUCUAAAAUAACUUAUAAAAAGGGAUGAACAACAUCCCAAUAAGUGAGGUUGUUGCUGUCGUUGCUUUGUUUGGCAAUUUAUUUACUUCAAAUUAACUGCAAUGCUUUCCUUACUUUGAUUUGUAAUUGAUGUUUAUAAUUUGAUUUAUGGUAAAUUACAGUCUCUCAAUUAUUGGUAAGUUUUUGUUUUAUUACACAAUUAUGAAAAAUUAAAAAUGGCUAUCCAAUUAUAUCCAAUUUUUUUCCUUUUCGAUCAGCAACAGUUAAAUGAUUGACAGAAAGAAGACAUGUCAACUUCUAAAACUGGCAUAAUAAUAAUUUUAACCCUCUACAUUUAUAUAUUAUGUCAAUUUAGUCUUAAUUCUAAAUAAGUUAACCUCAAUGUUUAUGCAUUGUAUAAUUUGGUCUCUUUUUUUUCUUUUCAAUUUUGCUUUUCUUUGUGACAUUUUCACCUAAAAAGCUAAAAAAGAUUAUCAACUAAAUUUGAACGAACAUAUACCAAAAAUGAAAAUACCCAAAAUUUCAAGAUAAUAAUUUUUAUCUUCUCAUUCUUUUAAAACUAACCCUUAAUGUCACAAAUAAAAGUAAUAUCGUAAAAAAAAAAGAAGAUCAAAUUGCACAAGGUGUAAAUGUUGAGGUUUAGUUUUUUUUUUGGAAUCAAGACUAAAUUGACACAACAUAUAAAUAAUGAGGGUUAAAAUUGUUAUUAUGCCAAUUAGAAAAACUACCAAGUUAUCUUUCUAAUGAUAAUUUAACGGUUGGUGACCAAAAGAGAAAACUUCAAAUAUUUGGGCGACCAAAGAAGAAAAGUCAAGUAGUUGGGUGACCAAAAAAUAAAUUUACCAAUAGUUGGGUGUAGAGGUGUUCAUGGGCCGGGCCGGGCCUGAAAAAAAUUUAGCCCGAUUUCUAGGCCCGAGCCCGGCCCGACCCGGAAUAUGGGCCUGAGAUUUUGCCCAGGCCCGGCCCGUGGAGAAAAUAUGAAGCCCGGGCCCGGCCCGGCCCGGCCUUUUUUUUUUUACUUAAAACUAAUUGUUAUUAAAAUUAUAUCAAAUAUCAAAUUAUAUUUUUUAUACUAUAUAAUGAACAAAAAAUAAAAUAAGAUUACUUAUUUGAAUUUAAUUACAAACAAUCAAUUCUUAAAAAAAGAGAAUAAAAAUAAAAAAUGAUUAUACAAGUAAUUACAAAACAAUUAACUCGAAUUUAAUUACUUUUAACUUUUUAACUUUAAAUAUUUUAAAAUUUAUCAUAUCAUUACAUUUUUAUGCUUUUAAAGGAUAACAAAUUAACAAUGUUAUACUAAAUCUGUUAAUUUAUGGCCAAUUUUGCAUUUCCCAAAGGUAAUUUAUGGCCUCACAAUUUUAUACGAAAUCUGUUUGUUCUUGGCUAUAUUUUGUCUUAAUUAUUUAUGGCCAAAUUAGUUAUUUACGAAUGGCAUAUAGAAAGCAUUUGAAGAAGACUCUCUUCAUUUUGGGAUUGUUAAAUAGACUUGAUAAAUCUGCUUAUGGCAGCUUGUAAAAACUGAUUCUCACCAUUUUAACAAGGAUUUGCACUUUCAAAAGUAUAAUUGCAGAAGAAUCGAAGUGAAGAGAAACUAAAACUUAAAACUUUGGGGCUUCAUAAUAACAAAAAGACAACAUUUUCAAUAGUUCAUAACAUAAAAAUAAUACCUUCGAACAGUACAUAACAUUUAAAAAGAAAACAAAAACAAAUCUUUGGACAGCAUAAAACAUAAAGCAUAAAAAAUAAUACCUUCAGAAGUUGCAGAAGAAUCGAAGUGAAGAGAAGUAGAGAACAACAACAACGCUAGCGUCGUGGAACUGGAGCCUGGAGGUAGAGUCGUCGAGGACCGUACAUCGGAGGUGGGAUGGUUGAUCGGUGGAGGUGGAGGUGGAGUUUUCGAUUUGGGGGAAAAAAUGAGGAGGGAAGGGAAGGGGUUAGGGAUUCUGAAGUUUGAACGGGUGGGGGAAAUGGGAAAGGUAAGUAGGUAAC
Molecule: long non-coding RNA, 8067 nt
Filed under: Gossypium barbadense (sea-island cotton)
Lineage: Eukaryota; Viridiplantae; Streptophyta; Magnoliopsida; Malvales; Malvaceae
Description: long non-coding RNA (GBAR_LNC015687)
Source: RNAcentral